Molecule: ribosomal RNA, 253 nt
Filed under: uncultured bacterium
Lineage: Bacteria
Description: partial 16S ribosomal RNA
Rfam family: Bacterial small subunit ribosomal RNA
Source: RNAcentral
UACAGAGGCCCCAAGCGUUGUUCGGAAUUACUGGGCGUAUAGCGGAUGUAGGCGGUUAUUCUAGUCAGAUGUGAAAGCCCGGGGCUUAAACCCGGAACUGCAUUUGAAACUGGAUAGCUCGAGUGCGAGAGAGGAAAGUGGAAUUCCCGGUGUAGGAGUGAAAUCCGUAGAUAUCGGGAGGAAUACCAAUGGCGAAGGCAGCUUUCUGGCUCGUAACUGACGCUGAGAUCCGAAAGCGUGGGUAGCAAACAGG